RNAcentral lists this ribosomal RNA (394 nucleotides) under Robbsia sp. RNAcentral describes it as "bacterial SSU rRNA". It matches the Rfam family "Bacterial small subunit ribosomal RNA", at positions 513 to 907 of the family's 1533-position model. The record is from RNAcentral. Lineage: Bacteria; Pseudomonadati; Pseudomonadota; Betaproteobacteria; Burkholderiales; Burkholderiaceae.
CGCCGCGGUAAUACGUAGGGUGCAAGCGUUAAUCGGAAUUACUGGGCGUAAAGCGUGCGCAGGCGGUUUGUUAAGACAGAUGUGAAAUCCCCGGGCUCAACCUGGGAACUGCAUUUGUGACUGGCAAGCUAGAGUAUGGCAGAGGGGGGUGGAAUUCCGCGUGUAGCAGUGAAAUGCGUAGAUAUGCGGAGGAACACCGAUGGCGAAGGCAGCCCCCUGGGCCAAUACUGACGCUCAUGCACGAAAGCGUGGGGAGCAAACAGGAUUAGAUACCCUGGUAGUCCACGCCCUAAACGAUGUCAACUAGUUGUUGGGGAUUCAUUUCCUUAGUAACGUAGCUAACGCGUGAAGUUGACCGCCUGGGGAGUACGGUCGCAAGAUUAAAACUCAAAGA